GGUUUGAUCAUGGCUCAGAUUGAACGCUGGCGAGAUGCUUUACACACAUGCAAGUCGAACGGCAGCACGGACUUCGGUCUGGUGGCGAGUAAGGAACGGGCGAGUAAAUGUAUCGGAACGUGCCUAGUAUACGGGGGAUAACUACGCGAAAGCGGGUAGCUAAUACCGCAUACGCCCUUCGGGGGAAAGCGCGGGUAUCUUCGGGCCUCGCACCAUUAGGAGCGGCCGAUAUCGAUUAGCUGAAGUUGCGGCAACGGUCACCAAGGCGAUGAUCCGUAGCUGGUUUGAGAGGACGACCAGCCACACUGGGACUGAGACACGGCCCACAGACUCCUACGGGAGGCAGCAGUGGGGAACGGACAAUGGGGGAAACCCUGAUCCAGCCAUCCCGCGUGUGCGAUGAAGGCCUUCGGGUUGUAAAGCACUUUUGGCAGGAAAGAAACGGCACGGGAUAAUACCCCGUGCAACUGACGGUACCUGCAGAAUAAGCACCGGCUAACUACGUGCCAGCAGCCGCGGUAAUACGUAGGGGUGCAAGCGUUAACGGGAAUUACCGGGCGUAGCAGCAGGCGGUUCGGAAAGAAAGAUGUGAAAUCCCAGAGCUUAACUUUGGAACUGCGUUUUUAACUACCGAGCUGGUGUCAGAGGGAGGUGGAAUUCACGCAGAGAAAGAACAGUGCAGGCGCAGAGGAACACCGAUGGCGAAGGCAGCCUCCCCGGGAUAACGACGCUCAUGCACGUGAAAGCGUAAAGCGAACAGGAUUAGAUAAUUCAGUAGUCCACGCCCUGAAACGGAUGUCAACUAGCUGUUGGGGCCUCGUCCCUGUAGCGCAGCUAAACGCAGGAAGCGACUCCGCCUCGGGGAGUAAUACGGUCGCAAGAUUAAAACUCAAAGGAAUUGGACGGGGACCCGCACAAGCGGUGGAUGUGAUGUGGAUUAAUUCGAUGCAACGCGAAAAACCUUACCUACCCUUGACAUGUCUGGAAUCCCGAAGAGAUUUGGGAGUGCUCGCAAGAGAACCGGAACACAGGUGCUGCAUGGCUGUCGUCAGUCGUGUCGAGAUGUUGGGUUAAGUCCCGCAAUUGAGCAACCCAGCCGUUAUUACGAAAGGGCACUCUAAUGAGACUGCCGGUGACAAACCGGGAGGAAGGGAUGACGUCAAGUCCUCAUGGCUCUUAUGGGUAGGGCUUUCACACGUCAUACAAUGGUCGGGACAGUGGUCGCCAACCUGCGAGGGGGAGCCAAUCCUGGUGAAACCAUCGUAGUCCGGAUCGCAGUCUGCACCGACUGCGUGAAGUCGGAAUCGCUAGUAAUCGCGGAUCAGCAUCGUGGUGAAUACGUUCCCGGGUCUUGUACACACCGCCCGUCACACCAUGGGAGUGGGUUUUACCAGAAGUAGUUAGCCUAACCGUAUGAGGGCGAUUACCACGGUAGGAUUCAUGACUGGGGUGAAGUCGUAACAAGGUA
This 1468-nucleotide ribosomal RNA is filed under the name uncultured Bordetella sp. Its description in RNAcentral is "partial 16S-23S ribosomal RNA intergenic spacer". It matches the Rfam family "Bacterial small subunit ribosomal RNA". The record is from RNAcentral. Lineage: Bacteria; Pseudomonadati; Pseudomonadota; Betaproteobacteria; Burkholderiales; Alcaligenaceae.